CUGUGAAUAGGCACAAUAGUAGUGAAUGCAAUGCUCAGUUGACUUGAGCAUUCCUCUUCCACUCCUCAAUUAAUCUCUUAAUAAUAAGCUCACAACUCCCACCAACACCACAAGCCUUCCUUGCUGCCUCCUUCAUUUCUCCUGCUUUGACUCUCAAAGACUCAUCGGUCAUCAUCUCUUUGAUUUUCUUAGCAAUCUCCUUCCCUUCCACCACCUUUUGUGUCCCCCACCCCCAUUCCUCAGCCCAAAUCCCAACCCCACUCAUCUUUAUGGCUUCUGAGGUCAUCUUCUGAUCUCCAUACUGAGGCCAUGUCAGAAUAGGCACUCCUUCCGACAAGGUCUCAGUUAUUGAGUUCCAACCUCCAUGACUCACAAACCCCCCCACUGCAGGGUGCCCCAGAAUCUUCAUCUGAUUCACAUAUUCCUUCACAACCACACCCCUUUCCUUCACUUUACCCAUCAACUCACUCCCUAACACAUCCUCCAAACCCUCAUCCUCUUCUCUGUCAACCCUCUUCAAUUUCACCACCCACAAAAAACUAUACCCACAUUCUAUUAACCCCAAAGCCGUGUCCUUUAUCUGCUCCCUCCUCGUCUCAGUUCUGCUCCCCAAGCUAACAUACACCACCGACCCUUCAGCUUGUUCAUCAAGCCAUUCCAGUAUCCAACUCAUGCCAUUCUUUUGACCUUCAUUCACAUUCUCAAACUCACAGGCCAUUAAGGGACCGAUUCCAUACACCGGAGGCAACCCUCUAACCACUUUUCCUUCAUUCAAAGCUGCUAGUGCCUCUCCUUCCAGUUCCUCAAACGAGUUUAUCAAAACCCCAUCGAGCUUCGUGAGGUUUCGACUGUCCUCCAUGAUCAUUCUCUGAAAGGAGUUGCUACCUUCAAGAAGAAAAGCUUGAGGGACCGAGGAUCUUGGUAUCGGUGAUGUGAAGCCCGGGACUUGAACAGCAUCACCAAUGAACCUAGAAGGGUGCGGUUGUGCAGCUGGAUCGGAAUCAGCAAGAACAGAAACGCAUGCAAUGAAAGACAACAUUCUAGCUGAAGAGGUGAAGUAAAUGUAACUGGGACAAGAGAGUUUGUCAGAAAUUGAGACUACAGCGGAGAUUAAGGAAACAUUGUAUAUGAAAGCAGAAAGUGGUGUUGCGAGUGAAGAUAGGAUUGGAAGUAGAAGGUGAAUGGAAUGACGAAUGGUUUGAAACUGAAGGUAAAAAGGGUCAAUGUUGGUGGAAACUGUGGUUGGAUCCAAUGGAACGGGGUUGAAGUCAACUUGAGUUACUUGAUGAGGGAAAGAAGAACAAAAGCGGGUUAUGAGGUCUGAUUCAGCCAUGGAUACAGUGGGUUUGGGAGUGAUGAGAGUGACUUUACAACCUUGGCGGAGGAACACUGCGGCUAGUCUGAGACAUGGGUUGAGGUGACCCAUGCCAGCACUAGGGAGGAAACCCACAUGAACAACUGCUUCAGAAGCAGACAUUGUUUAUGGAAUGAAUGAAGUGUUGAUAAAGAAAGAGAACAAGAAGUAGAAGUUUAUGGCUCCUGUUUGAAAAGGGAGAAUGGUCGUUGUCCUCGG
Molecule: small RNA, 1573 nt
Filed under: Vigna angularis var. angularis
Lineage: Eukaryota; Viridiplantae; Streptophyta; Magnoliopsida; Fabales; Fabaceae
Description: Non-protein coding transcript
Source: RNAcentral